This 465-nucleotide ribosomal RNA is filed under the name uncultured bacterium. RNAcentral describes it as "partial 16S ribosomal RNA". It matches the Rfam family "Bacterial small subunit ribosomal RNA", at positions 28 to 507 of the family's 1533-position model. The record is from RNAcentral.
GACGAACGCUGGCGGCGUGCUUAACACAUGCAAGUCGAACGGAAAGGCCCUGCUUGCAGGGUACUCGAGUGGCGAACGGGUGAGUAACACGUGGGUGAUCUGCCCUGCACUUCGGGAUAAGCCUGGGAAACUGGGUCUAAUACCGGAUAGGAGCCAUUUUUAGUGUGAUGGUUGGAAAGUUUUUUCGGUGUAGGAUGAGCUCGCGGCCUAUCAGCUUGUUGGUGGGGUAAUGGCCUACCAAGGCGGCGACGGGUAGCCGGCCUGAGAGGGUGGACGGCCACAUUGGGACUGAGAUACGGCCCAGACUCCUACGGGAGGCAGAAGUGGGGAAUAUUGCACAAUGGGCGCAAGCCUGAUGCAGCGGCGCCGCGGGGGGGAUGACGGCCUUCGGGUUGUAAACUCCUUUCGCUAGGGACGAAGCUUUUUGUGACGGUACCUAGAUAAGAAGCACCGGCUAACUACGUG